UACAGGGGGUGCAAACGUUGCUCGGAAUUAUUGGGCGUAAAGCGCGCGUAGGCGGCUACUUAAGUCGGAUGUGAAAGCCCUUGGCUCAACUGAGGAAGUGCACCCGAAACUGAGUGGCUAGAGUACGAAAGAGGGUCGCGGAAUUCCCGGUGUAGAGGUGAAAUUCGUAGAUAUCGGGGGGAACACCGGGUGGCGAAGGCGGCGACCUGGGUCGAUACUGACGCUGAUGCGCGAAAGCGUGGGGAGCGGA
RNAcentral lists this ribosomal RNA (250 nucleotides) under uncultured bacterium. RNAcentral's name for it is "partial 16S ribosomal RNA". It matches the Rfam family "Bacterial small subunit ribosomal RNA", at positions 524 to 772 of the family's 1533-position model. The record is from RNAcentral.